GACGAACGCUGGCGGCGUGCCUAAUACAUGCAAGUAGAACGCUGAAGGAGGAGCUUGCUUCUCUGGAUGAGUUGCGCACGGGUGAGUAACGCGUAGGGAACCUGCCUGUUAGCGGGGGAUAACACUUGGAAACGCUGGCUAAUACCGCAUAAUAGUAGAUGUUGCAUGACAUUUGCUUAAAAGGUGCAAUUGCAUCACUACCUGAUGGACCUGCGUUGUAUUAUCUAGUUGGUGGGGUAACGGCUCACCAAGGAGACGAUACAUAGCCGACCUGCGAGGGGGAUCGGCCACACUGGGACUGAGACACGGCCCAGACUCCUACGGGAGGCAGCAGGAGGGAAACUUCGGCAAUGGACGGAAGUCCGACCGAGCCACGGCGCGGGAGGGAAGGAGGGUUUCGGAUCGUAAAGCUCCGUUGUAAGAGAAGAACGAGUGUGAGAGUGGAAAGUGCACGCUGUGACGGUACCUUACCAGAAAGGGACGGCUAACUACGUG
RNAcentral lists this ribosomal RNA (495 nucleotides) under uncultured bacterium. RNAcentral's name for it is "partial 16S ribosomal RNA". It matches the Rfam family "Bacterial small subunit ribosomal RNA", at positions 28 to 507 of the family's 1533-position model. The record is from RNAcentral.